UACGGAGGGGGCUAGCGUUGUUCGGAAUUACUGGGCGUAAAGCGCACGUAGGCGGCUUUGUAAGUUAGAGGUGAAAGCCCGGGGCUCAACCCCGGAAUUGCCUUUAAGACCGCAUCGCUAGAAUUGUGGAGAGGUGAGUGGAAUUCCGAGUGUAGAGGUGAAAUUCGUAGAUAUUCGGAAGAACACCAGUGGCGAAGGCGACUCACUGGACACAUAUUGACGCUGAGGUGCGAAAGCGUGGGGAGCGAACAGG
This 253-nucleotide ribosomal RNA is filed under the name uncultured bacterium. RNAcentral describes it as "partial 16S ribosomal RNA". It matches the Rfam family "Bacterial small subunit ribosomal RNA", at positions 524 to 776 of the family's 1533-position model. The record is from RNAcentral.